This is a non-coding RNA of Osmia lignaria (orchard mason bee), 131 nucleotides long. Lineage: Eukaryota; Metazoa; Arthropoda; Insecta; Hymenoptera; Megachilidae. The record is from RefSeq and is a predicted model, not a curated record.
AAUGAAAUGUAAUAUGGCGACGAUGCCAUAAGAGUAUGGUUGCAGCAUGUCUGCAUUAUGUUAUAUCAAUGCUCAUAAAUUAGGAGCCAAAAUUCAAAGGAAUAAACAAAUAAAAGAUAGGACACUGUAAA